This is a non-coding RNA of Paramuricea clavata, 273 nucleotides long. The record is from the annotation of a GenBank genome assembly. Lineage: Eukaryota; Metazoa; Cnidaria; Anthozoa; Malacalcyonacea; Plexauridae.
AUUAAUCGAUAUUAAUCGAUCAUGAAAAUAAAACGAUGGGAGCAGCUCUACUUGCGACGCGAAUGUUUGAAUUUACUGGUCCACAAGUACAAAUGUAAAAACGCGCAAGCUGUUGGAAAGGCUGGAUGUUCAAAGCUGAAUUAGCGCAAACCCUCGGUUAAAAUUUAGCCAGUUGUUUUAUAGUUUCUGUAUUUCUGCGCGACUGUUUAUUUCUAAACGUUAAGGAAAAAAAAACAUCUACUGAACCGCAAAAGAUUUCUCAAGAAAUAUUUC